GACGAACGCUGGCGGCGUGCUUAACACAUGCAAGUCGAACGGAAAGGCCCUGCUUUUGUGGGGUGCUCGAGUGGCGAACGGGUGAGUAACACGUGAGUAACCUGCCCUUUACUUUGGGAUAACUUCAGGAAACUGGGGCUAAUACCGGAUAGGAGCUCCUGCUGCAUGGUGGGGGUUGGAAAGUUUCGGCGGUUGGUGAUGGACUCGCGGCUUAUCAGCUUGUUGGUGGGGUAGUGGCUUACCAAGGCUUUGACGGGUAGCCGGCCUGAGAGGGUGACCGGCCACAUUGGGACUGAGAUACGGCCGAGACUCCUACGGGAGGCAGCAGUGGGGAAUAUUGCACAAUGGGCGGAAGACUGAUGCAGCAACGCCGCGUGCGGGAUGACGGCCUUCGGGUUGUAAACCGCUUUCGCCUGUGACGAAGCGUGAGUGACGGUAAUGGGUAAAGAAGCACCGGCUAACUACGU
Molecule: ribosomal RNA, 467 nt
Filed under: uncultured bacterium
Lineage: Bacteria
Description: partial 16S ribosomal RNA
Rfam family: Bacterial small subunit ribosomal RNA
Source: RNAcentral